UGCAUGCUUCCGAAUAGAAGAGCAUUCUCUCUGAAUCUGCGAACGGCUCCGCAAACCAGUUGUAAACCACAGCGAGCAAGCCCUCGGGCCCGCCGCAAGGUGGGUCCGGGGGUAAUAAGGAUAACCCUGGUAAUUCUGAGGCUAAUACAAGAACGUAAAACCUGAUCGACCGGCAACGGAAGGUUGGGGGACGUGCAAAAAGUCGCAAAAAUUGACUGGGAAUAGAUGCAAGUCCAGACCACCAUACCAAACAGUUCGCCUACUUCGGGAAGCGUUUCUGGGUGGCUCUCGCGAGGCGCUUCUGACCUAUCAACUAGAUGGCAGCGUAAGGGACAUGCUAUGGUUACAACGGGUACAGAGGAUAAGGGUUCGAUCCUGGAGAGUGGGCCUGAGAGAUUGCUCACACUUCUAAGGAAGGCAGCAGGCGCGCAACGUUCCCCUUGGGCAAAGCUCGAGGGCGUUAGGGGACAUAUGAAUGCCUGCCAAUUGGUGGGCAAUUCAAAUGGGUCUGUUCUAAACAGCCUC
RNAcentral lists this ribosomal RNA (525 nucleotides) under Physarum clavisporum. RNAcentral's name for it is "SSU rRNA". It matches the Rfam family "Eukaryotic small subunit ribosomal RNA", at positions 52 to 536 of the family's 1831-position model. Lineage: Eukaryota; Evosea; Eumycetozoa; Physariida; Physaraceae. The record is from RNAcentral.